CUCCUACGGGAGGCAGCAGUGGGGAAUAUUGGGCAAUGGGCGCAAGCCUGACCCAGCUAUGCCGCGUGAGUGAUGAAGGCCUUCGGGUCGUAAAGCUCUGUGGAGGGGGAAGAACACGCAUGUGGCUAAUAUCCACGUGCCCUGACGGUACCCCUUUAGCAAGCACCGGCUAACUCCGUGCCAGCAGCCGCGGUAA
This 196-nucleotide ribosomal RNA is filed under the name uncultured bacterium. Its description in RNAcentral is "partial 16S ribosomal RNA". It matches the Rfam family "Bacterial small subunit ribosomal RNA", at positions 336 to 523 of the family's 1533-position model. The record is from RNAcentral.